RNAcentral lists this ribosomal RNA (253 nucleotides) under uncultured bacterium. RNAcentral describes it as "partial 16S ribosomal RNA". It matches the Rfam family "Bacterial small subunit ribosomal RNA", at positions 524 to 776 of the family's 1533-position model. The record is from RNAcentral.
GACAGAGGCCUCAAGCGUUAGGCGGAAUCACUGGGCUUAAAGCGUGUGUAGGCGGUUCGUUAAGUACCUUGUGAAAUCCCACGGCUCACCCGUGGAACUGCUGGGUAUACUGGCGAUCUUGGGCCAACUAGGGGCAGCUGGAACAAGCGGUGGAGCGGUGAAAUGCGUAGAUAUCGCUUGGAACGCCGAAGGUGAAAACAGGCUGCUGGGGUUGUGCCGACGCUGAGACACGAAAGCCAGGGGAGCAAACGGG